GAUGAACGCUGGCGGCGUGCCUAAUACAUGCAAGUCGAGCGAACGGACGAGAAGCUUGCUUCUCUGAUGUUAGCGGCGGACGGGUGAGUAACACGUGGAUAACCUACCUAUAAGACUGGGAUAACUUCGGGAAACCGGAGCUAAUACCGGAUAAUAUUUUGAACCGCAUGGUUCAAAAGUGAAAGACGGUCUUGCUGUCACUUAUAGAUGGAUCCGCGCUGCAUUAGCUAGUUGGCAAGGUAACGGCUUACCAAGGCAACGAUGCAUAGCCGACCUGAGAGGGUGAUCGGCCACACUGGAACUGAGACACGGUCCAGACUCCUACGGGAGGCAGCAGUAGGGAAUCUUCCGCAAUGGGCGAAAGCCUGACGGAGCAACGCCGCGUGAGUGAUGAAGGUCCUCGGAUCGUAAAACUCUGUUAUUAGGGAAGAACAUAUGUGUAAGUAACUGUGCACAUCUUGACGGUACCUAAUCAGAAAGCCACGGCUAACUACGUG
RNAcentral lists this ribosomal RNA (497 nucleotides) under uncultured bacterium. RNAcentral describes it as "partial 16S ribosomal RNA". It matches the Rfam family "Bacterial small subunit ribosomal RNA", at positions 28 to 507 of the family's 1533-position model. The record is from RNAcentral.